AACUUAAAUGAAUUGACGGACCCCGCACAAGCGUGGAUUUAUGUUGUUUAAUUCGACGCAACGCGAAGAACCUUACCAGGCCUUGACAUACUCGGCAAAGCUCUAGAGAUAGAGUGGAGGUUAUCCGGGAUACAGGUGGUGCAUGGUUGUCGUCAGCUCGUGUCGUGAGAUGUUGGGUUAAGUCCCGCAACGAGCGCAACCCUUGUCUUUAGUUACCAUCAUUCAGUUGGGGACUCUAGAGAGACUGCCGGUGAUAAACCGGAGGAAGGUGGGGAUGACGUCAAAUCAUCAUGCCCCUUAUGGCCUGGGCUACAAACGUAAUACAAUGGCGUAUACAAAGGGAUGCGAAAGGGCGACCUGGAGCAAAACUCACAAAGUACGUCUCAGUUCAGAUUGGAGUCUGCAACUCGACUCCAUGAAGGCGGAAUCGCUAGUAAUCGCGGAUCAGCAUGCCGCGGUGAAUACGUUCUCGGGGUUU
This 478-nucleotide ribosomal RNA is filed under the name uncultured Erysipelothrix sp. Its description in RNAcentral is "bacterial SSU rRNA". It matches the Rfam family "Bacterial small subunit ribosomal RNA", at positions 898 to 1382 of the family's 1533-position model. The record is from RNAcentral. Lineage: Bacteria; Bacillati; Bacillota; Erysipelotrichia; Erysipelotrichales; Erysipelotrichaceae.